CACAGGCCAUGAUGAUAAUUUUUUUUUUUGCCUCACCGUAUAGAAGCUUUAUUGAAUGUCAUUUAUUAUCAGUGGCACAGUUCUCAUUUAUUCAGAUGGAAAUGGUUUUCAUCUAAAAAUGAUCUGAUUACAUCUUUUGAUGCAACAUGGUGCGUGAAGUGCACUACAUGAACAAGAAGGUGCCUUCUUAAUAACGGCUAAGUAUUAUAUGAUCUGCCCUCAGGAAAUUAAAAAAAAAAAAAAAAAUGCAGUGUUCUUCUUAGGCUUCACUUAAUUUUAAGAUUCUCUGGCUUUGCUGUUUUGGUCACGUGAUGUAUGGGUGGCUUUGCUGUGCUCCUGUUUCAUAAUCAUCUUUUUUCCACAAUUAGUGGGGUGAGCUUAUGUCAAAGUUGAUUCAUCUGCCACUCUGGUUAGGAACCACGGCUGACUCAUUUGGGAGAGAAGCCCUGGGCCUCCCAGAGUGAACUGUUUGUCUGUCAGAGCUGGGGUGGCAGAAACCUUGUGCCUCAAACUCUCGUCUCGGGGCUUGGUGAAACUUUGAAGAAAGCUGAACUUUAAUUGCGGAGGGGGCAGCGGCGGCGCGAGGCCUCGACCGUUGGGCGCCUUCGCCUCAGGGCGGCGCUGCCGGCGCCAUUUUCUGGCGGCACGGCCUGUGUGCCUAACGGUCGGCGGGGCGAGGGGGGCGUCUGUCAGUCAGCUGAGGCCGGUGAGCCACGAGUAAAGUGGUCACACCAGUGUGGGGAUGAUGAAAAUAAGAUCUUGAAAUUUAUAGAGAGGGACGGAGUAGACGGUCCUGGCUGGAAAGAGACAUGAACUGACGGAAAGAGCAGCAUGUUCACGAGGAGUGUUAGUCCUCACACCUGGACCAUGAUGAGAGUGGCAACAGGGUACCUCUGGGUUGUUGUCUCCUUGAAAGAAUAAAGCAAGUGACCCAGUACAAAAUGUUGGGAUAUGGCACACAACAGGUGCAUGUUUAUACAGAUAAUGCUCCUGAGGGAUGAUCAAGAAAGGGGGCAAGAGACAUGACCGAUAUGAGGACUCCAGAGGGAGAAGCAGCUGCUGGGGAAGACUCAAACAAGGCUAUAAAGCAUGCCCUGGUGUUGUUAACACCGUGUUUUGCUGCUGAGAAAAUGGAGCUACUUCUCCAUUUCAUGUGCUAUGGGAGGACAGGUGCUGGUGGAGCUGGCUGCAGAGUGGGCUGAUCCUGAACUCUUUCCUACAGAGUGCUUGUGCCUGGAGGAGUGUGAAGGUAUAUGGCAGUUUUCAUCCCCUACAUCUUAGAAAUAUUUGCAGACAUGAGUUACGAAACUUCACAAUGCCCGCAGAGGACUUAGAACACAAAGUGAAAGAUCAGCUGCUGUGGACAGCAGAGUUAGAAUGCAUGACACUUCAAGGAUGGACAUUCAGCAGUAUCCAUCUUUGAAAGGAGUAUUACCAGCAUGCCAAGUGAGAGAAGGCAUCGAGAGCCUUGCAGGAACAGCUUCACAAGGGAGGAAAAGCCAAUAAUGCAAAGUAUGAUUGCUAUGAGGACUUUGAAGGACCAAGAGAUCAUUUGCAGACUUGACAGACAUCCAAUGGUCAGAACCAUUUCUCAGAGUGAGAGCCUGAAAGAGAGAAGACCACCAGACAAGAUAGGACUCAGUACAUUUGAGAAAGAUUGCUGAUUAUACAGAAGGAGGAAGCACUGUGGGAAGAUUUGAAUUUGAAGAAAAAUAUGACUGUGGAAGAGAUCAUGCAUGUGCAGAGGCCAGCAGUAAGGCAAAAAGCUGAGGAUAUCACCAGGGAAGACUAGAUCUUCUGUAAAGCUUUGUGGAAGAUAGAUGCGUGUGCUGCAAUGGUGACAUAAAUAUUUAAGAGGAUUGGAACAAGUUGCUGAGAAUCUGUUUGUUUUUAAUGCUUGGAACAAUCUAAGGCAAGUAAACAACAUGAGUUUUAUCAUGAAACUUCACAGACAUUUUCAAAGAACGGUUAUUUUGCUGGCCACUUUUUGUAUGGUGAGCAUUGUUAUUUCUGCAUACUACUUGUAUAAUGGCUACAAACAGGAAAAUGAACUUCCUGAAAUCUCUUCAGAAGUGGAAUGUGGUGAUCUUCAACUGUUGCCAUACAAGCUGAUGGAGAUGAAGACCAUGAAGCCUAUCGAUCCCCUGAGAACAGAUCUUGUAGUGCUGGUGUUUGUGGAAAGUCAAUAUUCAACGUUAGGCCAAGAUAUAAUAACCAUUUUAGAAUCCAGCAGAUUUCAGUACCAUAUCGAGAUUGCAUCUGGUAAAGGUGACCUCCCAGUGCUUAUAGACAAAAAUAAGGGCAAAUAUGCUCUCAUAGUAUAUGAAAAUAUUUUAAAAUAUGUGAAUAUGGACUCUUGGAACAGAGGUCUUCUAGAUAAGUACUGUAUGGAAUAUAGUGUAGGUGUUAUUGGAUUUCAUAAAGGCAAUGAGAACAGCUUGCAGAAUUUCCAGCUGAAGGGCUUUCCUUUCCAUGUCCACAGCAAUCUGGGUAUUAAGGACUGUUGCAUUAACCCUCAUUCCCCAUUGCUCCAUGUGACUAAAUCCUCCAAGCUUGAGAAAGGUCCCUUGCUUGGAAAUGACUGGGCAGUUUUCCAGAUUAAUCAUACUGCUUACCAACCAGUGAUAUUUGCAAAAGUAAAGACACCAGAAAACCUUUCACCACCUGCUGCUAAAAGUGCUCUCCAUGCCACAGUAAUUCAUGACCUGGGACUCCACGAUGGGAUUCAACGAGUCCUUUUUGGCAAUAACUUGAAUUUUUGGCUGCACAAACUGAUUUUCAUAGAUGCCAUCUCUUUCCUGUCUGGAAAGAAGCUCAGACUAUCCUUGGAUAGGUACAUUCUGGUUGACAUAGAUGACAUCUUCGUUGGGAAGGAGGGAACAAGAAUGAACGCCAACGAUGUACAGGCCCUACUUGACACUCAGAAUCUUUUGAGAGCUCAGAUUACAAAUUUUACUUUCAACCUGGGAUUUUCAGGGAAAUUCUAUCACACAGGCACUGAGGAGGAAGAUGAAGGUGAUGACCUGUUGUUGAGGUCUGUGGAUGAGUUUUGGUGGUUUCCCCAUAUGUGGAGUCACAUGCAGCCUCAUCUUUUCCACAAUGAAUCAUCACUGGUAGAGCAGAUGAUCCUCAACAAAAAAUUUGCCUUAGAACAUGCUAUUCCAACUGACAUGGGCUAUGCAGUGGCUCCACACCAUUCUGGAGUCUAUCCAGUGCAUGUUCAACUUUAUGAUGCCUGGAAAAAGGUCUGGAAUAUCAGAGUUACCAGCACAGAAGAAUACCCUCAUCUGAAGCCUGCAAGGUAUAGAAGAGGCUUCAUCCACAAAAAUAUCAUGGUGCUUCCUAGGCAAACUUGUGGCUUAUUCACCCACACUAUUUUCUAUAAAGAAUAUCCUGGAGGCCCAAAGGAACUAGACAAAAGUAUUCAAGGUGGGGAAUUGUUCUUCACAGUGGUUCUCAAUCCAAUUAGCAUCUUCAUGACACAUUUGUCUAAUUACGGCAACGAUCGCCUGGGGUUGUACACCUUUGUGAAUCUGGCCAACUUUGUUCAUACGUGGACAAACCUGAAACUGCAAACUCUUCCUCCGGUGCAGCUGGCUCACAAGUAUUUCAAACUAUUCCCUGAGCAAAAGGACCCUCUCUGGCAGAAUCCCUGUGAUGACAAACGGCACAGAGAUAUCUGGUCUAAAGAAAAAACUUGUGAUCGAUUACCAAAAUUCUUGGUUGUAGGACCACAGAAAACUGGUACCACAGCCUUGUAUUUGUUCCUGAUCAUGCAUCCUUCCAUCAUUAGUAACUCCCCCAGCCCAAAAACCUUUGAGGAGGUACAGUUCUUUAAUAGAAAUAACUACCACAGGGGGAUUGAUUGGUACAUGGAUUUCUUCCCUACUCCUUCCAAUGUCACCACUGACUUCCUCUUUGAGAAAAGUGCCAACUAUUUUCAUUCUGAGGAAGCUCCUAAACGAGCUGCUUCCCUCGUCCCCAAGGCCAAGAUCAUCACCAUCCUCAUUGACCCAUCUGACCGGGCAUAUUCCUGGUAUCAGCAUCAACGAUCACAUGAAGAUCCUGCAGCUCUAAAAUUCAGUUUCUAUCAAGUGAUCACAGCUGGACCUCGAGCCCCUUCUGAGCUUAGAGCUCUCCAAAAGAGAUGCCUAGCACCUGGAUGGUACGCUACACAUAUUGAAAGAUGGCUAACUUACUUCCCACCUUAUCAGUUGCUAAUUAUUGAUGGCCAGCAGCUAAGAACUGAUCCGUCUACCGUAAUGGAUGAAGUACAGAAAUUUCUGGGAGUCUCUCCUCAUUAUAAUUACUCUGAAGCCCUAACGUUUGAUUCACAUAAAGGUUUCUGGUGUCAGCUUCUGGAAGAAGGAAAAACCAAGUGUCUUGGAAAGAGCAAGGGUAGAAAAUACCCUCCGAUGGAUUUUGAGUGCAGGGCUUUUCUGUCAAGCUACUACAGAGAUCACAACGUGGAACUGUCAAAACUCCUACACAAAUUGGGACAACCUCUGCCAUCGUGGCUGAGACAGGAACUACAGAAAGAAGCUUUAAAAAGCAGAAUGACUUUUAAUGUGCAGUCAACUUGGUGAAGAAUGAAGUCUGAGCAAAGCAUGCAGACGAGCUACAUGUGUUACUCCCCAGAUAACAGGAUGCAUAUGAGUACAGUUGAGUUUGUUAGCAGCUUGACGCUGAGCUACAACACAACCCAGGAGUAUGGGAGCAGCAUGAAAUGUUUUCACAAAUGAAAAAUAUUGCUUACUCUCUCUUUCUUCCAACCCAAACCUCUCAGAGUUCUAAGGCAAAGGAUGCCCUUUUUUGUCUCUGUGGACCACAAGGAUGAAGAAUGAAGAAAGCAUAAUAGUCAGCAUCAAAGGACAAAGCACAGGAACAGGAAAGGAAUUAACAGGUGAAACCAAGGGCCAAGGAAACCUGAACAGAGGAGGAAUUUAGAAAAAUUAAGGGUGAUUGGUCUGAAAAGCGUAUUGUGAGUUUGAUUAUUCUCCAGUCUGCUUUCCGUCAAGUAACUUUUCUGUCUUUUUUAAUAGUUAUUUUCUUUCUUCAGUUCCCUUUUUCUGUUCUGAUCCUCUCAUUGUCUUGAGAAAUUGAGACAGAAAAGGCUUAUGUACUUUUAAUUGCUCAGCUAUCUACAUACCUAGGAGAGCUGUCAGUCUAGUAGUACAAGGCCACUACCAGAUCUCUUCCAAAAGGUAGGAGUCUUUCCUAACAGAUGUGGCCUAGUUCAACCAUGAUGUAGGGGCUUCCCAUAACCUUUGUUAUUCAGAUCAGGGAAACGGACUCUUACCCUUAAAGAAAUCUAUUAGUCUGUCUCCUCCAUUGUCUCAUCAAGAAUGUCUCUGCUAUUAAGUCUCCCGGUAAAGCUCCUUUAUUCAGCUCAAUUCUGAACCCAAUUUACUCUGGU
This is an RNA transcript of Cygnus olor (mute swan), 5416 nucleotides long. It is a transcript of the gene named bifunctional heparan sulfate N-deacetylase/N-sulfotransferase 3, with no coding region annotated. The record is from RefSeq and is a predicted model, not a curated record. The transcript is spliced from 21 exons. NCBI's taxonomy places the organism in Eukaryota, Metazoa, Chordata, Aves, Anseriformes, Anatidae.